This is a non-coding RNA of Phrynosoma platyrhinos (Desert horned lizard), 72 nucleotides long. Lineage: Eukaryota; Metazoa; Chordata; Lepidosauria; Squamata; Phrynosomatidae. The record is from the annotation of a GenBank genome assembly.
GCCAGUGUGGUGUAGUGGUUUGAGUGUCAGACUGCAACUCUGGAGACCAGGGUCCGAUUCCUAGCUUGGCCA